GGGCACUCUAAGUUGACUGCCGGUGACAAACCGGAGGAAGGUGGGGAUGACGUCAAAUCAUCAUGCCCCUUAUGAUUUGGGCUACACACGUGCUACAAUGGACAAUACAAAGGGCAGCGAAACCGCGAGGUCAAGCAAAUCCCAUAAAGUUGUUCUCAGUUCGGAUUGUAGUCUGCAACUCGACUACAUGAAGCUGGAAUCGCUAGUAAUCGUAGAUCAGCAUGCUACGGUGAAUACGUUCCCGGGUCUUGUACACACCGCCCGUCACACCACGAGAGUUUGUAACACCCGAAGCCGGUGGAGUAACCUUUUAGGAGCUAGCCGUCGAAGGUGGGACAAAUGAUUGGGGUGAAGUCGUAACAAGGUAGCCGUAUCGGAAGGUGCGGCUGGAUCACCUCCUUUCUAAGGA
RNAcentral lists this ribosomal RNA (409 nucleotides) under Staphylococcus aureus. Its description in RNAcentral is "bacterial SSU rRNA". It matches the Rfam family "Bacterial small subunit ribosomal RNA", at positions 1133 to 1533 of the family's 1533-position model. Lineage: Bacteria; Bacillati; Bacillota; Bacilli; Caryophanales; Staphylococcaceae. The record is from RNAcentral.